GUAUGCUCGGGGUCACGGGGGAUGCCCUGCUCUUUUCUCCAAAAGUAUUGUGGAUCGAGUAAAAUGCCGGUGACUGGCCCGCAGCACGUAUGCAGCGCUUAUACGGCUGCCAGGAUAGAACUGCAACGAGUUCACUGACUCAACGAGGGCGAACACGCGCAAGUUUGCGUUAUUUCAUAUCGUCAACUGCACCAGAACUUGGGGGUUGGUUUUUCGGUCUCCUGUGUCGCGUCUCCAACUUUAAAUACGCUGGUCUCUCGUUUCGCUCCGAUUUCGUGAGCAUCAGUCAGAGGAUCGUGAUAACAGGGCCAAAUUCUCGUUCAUAGGAUUUCCGGUUGGCAUAGACACGUGAUAGGCGCAGGCGAAAGUUUCGAUCGAAUCUUCAUUGGCCAUGCUCACCUAUUUGUUUGCGGCAUCGGCGUACGCUUUGCAGCGAUCACACCCGACUAUGGUCAGAUGCUGCCUUGUCUCCAGCGUGCUUCCUCGUACGAGUACUGCCCUCCGGCGCUUGAACUGUUGCUGCAUCGCUCUGUACACGCACUAGACGAGUACAGAAGACUCCCCGUCGAUGCCCUCGACCGUUUUCGCGUCUGGUGCCGUACCCGAAGAUCACGAGCUUCGUCAGUGGCGAUGCCCCCGACGAGUACUCUGUAUGCGUCAUAUGCGAGUGCGCACUGUUCCAUGCCAUUGAAGAUUUGUGGAUUGCGGUGUUCGCCAUGGUGGUAGGGAUUUGGAAGGAAAAUGCAGGUUGGAGAACUUGCCGAGAACUAUCGAUCCGGUGGCGUUCUCUUCAUGGAAACCUGUGAAGCUUUCCCCAUUGGAAGCCGUCUCCGCUAUGUGUAGAGUACGAAUCCAUGAACACUUUUCAUGCAAACAGAAGACAGGGUAGCCUCUCUGGGAGCAUAUCCCCUGAAUUGUAUCGUGCUGCGGUUGAAUCCGCCGAUUCAUCGACGGGCACACAGAGAGAAGCACCUGUCUUUCGACCCGCGUCGAGUAUUUGACAUGCGCUUGGGAAGAAGUCGUCAAGGAAGGUCGUCGAGAUUCUCUCCUCAUCGAAGCAGGGACGCGCAUAGCUGUGCUCCUCGGUUACCUUGAAACAGAAAGAUCGAGUUCUAGGAAACUGUAUGAAUUGAGCACGCGAUAUUUACGGAACGGAGAAGAGUCAAGGCUUGUUGUUCUGCAUUGCGUUAAAAUAUCGGUUAUUAUAAGAGCCCUUGUACGAAUCUGUCGCAUGUCACUGUGAUGAUGGUGAGGUGACGAAUUCUACUGGGACUUUGUCGAAGGGGCCGUCCCGGAGAAAACAACCGCCGAGAAUCGUAAACCAAGGUAUGCAUCCAAGAACGCCAAUUCCCGCACUUCGAAAUUAGAGGCGCAAUAUCAACACAAGUUCGCAGAGAAAAUCGACAGAUAGAAACAGAACGAGCAGUUCAGUUCGCGAUGGUAGUUCGACACCAUUGUGGAGCGCAGCAGCGUAUCGCGCUCGUUCGACUGUACCUGGACGAGUUCGGAUAAUGUGCAGUCGGGCACACGAACCAGCCCGGGCAGAACUUGGUCCAGGCUCACCUGGGAUGCUGGAGUGUCCUGAGGCGCAACUGGGUAUGCCCGUUUGCCGAAACGAUUCAUUGUCGUUCGUUGGCACUCGUUUAGAGAGACACCCAGCUGCUAGACAUGUGUGCACCAUGCGUCCUUGGUGCGUGCGAGCGACGAAUAUCCCAAUGUCGUCGGAUCCCGUGGAUGACAACCACGCAGCAUCGACUCGUUACUCGUUCGACGCACUAGUUGAUGCCGCGGGCGUGCCGCCAUCGCGUGCUAUAGCGCGUCCUGCGCCAAAGGCGAAUACCGCACCACGUGACUUGUCGGUCAUGUUCUUUGCCACUUCAUUGAUGAAGCCCGCAAAUCUAUGCAUCUUGCCUCCAUGCAACCGAUACCGUUGGCGGCCCCAGCGAGGUCUCUCGGAACGCUGUCGAAAAUCGUUCGCACGAGCCAUGUGGACGCUUCUGCUCUGUCCAGUGCUGGGCGCUACGGAAUCGAUGUUGGCACUGUCACGCCAUUUGUUGGUAUAUACGCUGGCGUCCAUAAUGCUCGACUACCCAUAAACGCGAACAAUGGAGAAAUCAAGCCAUAUUACAUAUUCUGUCUGAGCAUCAAUUACCCUGUCAUAUGAAGGUUCUAUCGAAAAUUUCGAGAGGCAUCUGCUCAGCUGGUAGCCCUGCGUCCGGAUCGGCUACAGCAAGUCGUUUGACGAGGUGCAUCGGGGCGAGAGCGGUGCCUCGCGAGACUUUGUCGCGUAAGGAGCUAUGCGAUAUCUGUUGGCGUCCUGAAUCUAUCGAUUAGCCGGAGACGAACUUGUUGGCUAGUGAUCUAUGCGCGUAAAAACCGCGUUUGCCGAUAGUGACAAUGCCGUACACUGGAUAGAAGCUGGGAGCAUGGGCUGGUACGAAGACCAGGUCCAGCCAAAUUCCAGCUGUAUGCUCCCUGUUUCUUGUUCAGUCAUGGAACGCGACAUUGCUAACGAGCAGGACAGACGAAUUUGGUAAGGAGGAGCUUGGCAGAGAGACUCGAUGAACGACGCGUCGUCGAGCAAUCCUAACCGUUCGGCGAUUUGGGGCCGGCCUCACGCUUGACUCCCCGCUGGGCCUGAAGCCGUUGUCGCACGUGCUUGACUCCUCUUUACGGCCGGAGGUCUGCCCCUACUUCAUCAACGAUGCACAGACCUGCCAGUCUUCCCGAAUCAAGACUCAUCGAAUGAGACGAACACCAUCCAAACCUGUACUGACAAAAAUUCGCUUCUCAGUACGAAAUCAAUCGUGUCUUGUGCAACGCAUGGCGCUCUCCCAUACAGGCGUGCUUUGCCUCAACGUCCGCCCGUGUCCCUUCGUCACCGUUCGUAUCGAGGGCAUAGAGACGUCUCAUUCGACGGCAUCGUGAACAUUGUCUCUUACACAUCAUAUUCAGUAGAAUACCUUUCGAAGGAGAUCGUCGUCCAUUUCGUCAGAGUUUGACCGGUUCUCCUCUAGGAUGCGUGACGUUCAGAGCCAGCGUCGACGACGAGCAGCGUCAUUCGACGUUGCUAUGCCCGUUGAAAUACUGACAAGUAACGCCAUUCUAUAUAUGACAGCGAUGACACCUUAGAGCCUUUCCAGGACCUCUGUCCAGACAUCAUCGCCACCACCAUCAUCAGAUAUUCUAUUCAUAGAAUACCUAGAAGAAAAAAAAACAGCG
Molecule: unclassified non-coding RNA, 3222 nt
Filed under: Cyanidioschyzon merolae strain 10D
Lineage: Eukaryota; Rhodophyta; Bangiophyceae; Cyanidiales; Cyanidiaceae
Description: hypothetical transcript
Source: RNAcentral